Long non-coding RNA from Lutra lutra (Eurasian river otter), 1546 nucleotides. RefSeq lists it as uncharacterized. The transcript is spliced from 3 exons. NCBI's taxonomy places the organism in Eukaryota, Metazoa, Chordata, Mammalia, Carnivora, Mustelidae. The record is from RefSeq and is a predicted model, not a curated record.
GCUCUUCUGCACCGAGGAGGCCAGUCGUGAGAAGAGACUCUCCUUUCGUCCUGCCCUUCCAUCAGGUCAGUCUCCUGAAUUCCUUGGACACAGACGUGUAGGCAAAAUGAAAAUACAGUGUGCUUGCUUUCCACGACUCGGAGAUCUAAGGCGCCGUUAGUCGUCUGAACUCCUGCAGAAGAUAGUGUGGGCUAGGAGGAGUGGAUUCGAUGCCAUUCGAAUAUGGUCAGUUUCAUCCCAGAGCCCCGUCAGAGCUGUCAGAUGCUGCCAGCCAGACCCGGGCUGUUUCCAGCUUGUUGAUCAGACUCGAGGAGUCACUGUGUAUAUUAUCGUGUCUUCCAAGACGCGUUACCAGCUUCAGAGGGUUGACCCAGGCUCUUCAAACAUCUGAUUACACUUCAUGCUUCAGAUGAAAAGUUGUGAAGAUGGAAGAUUAUCAGACUUUGUAAUUUUCAUCAGCCAUCCUCUCUGCUCAGCAGUUUCUCGCAACCCUUAUUCUCUCUCUCCUCGCCCUCUGCUUCCCGUGAGUUCCUCUCGUGCCCAGUGAGUUCCUCUCCCAGUUGUGGGUCAUACUGGCCUCUCCCCUGAAACCUAUCACGGGCAGCAGCCCAAGGAGGAUACCAAGUCAGCAUGUGGCUCGAGGCUGAAUGAAAGUUGCUGUCUGGCUCGGGCUGGGAUCCCUUCUGUGUCAGCUGGACACAACAGAGUCUGGGACCCCAGGUUAACAUGACACUCCCUCUCUAUGAGGCCCCCAAUCACAUGGCCCCACUUCUUAGGACACCAACUCCUCCAAAAUUCAUCCUUCCCUGAAAUGGGCUGACAGUGCAGGCAAAACUAAAUGACCCAGAGACCCAAGGCAGAGAGACUGGGACAUGUAACCACAGUAGGGUCCUAAGUCAGAGUCUCCCACCAACUGCUCAAGAAAAACAAAAGGUUCUGUGAAACCCAGGCCAUGCUUAGUCAGCACAGCCUCAUGCUUAUUUUCAUUUUGGAAAUAUAAAUUGCCACCUUAGAUAUCUCAAUUGCAAGAUGGGUCCCCAAGUGAUUUUCAUUUACUACAUUACUUGCAGGUAGCCUCUGGGCUACCAUGUGGGUGGUAGCCUCAGGACCCAUUACUAAAACACAGCAGGAAACAUUCUGGAGAUAAUGACCAACGGGUUUCCUCUCAGGAGCUCUCUGCUGCCCCCACACCCCACACUCUAUCCCAACUAAACAGACAAGCAGCUUCUGCCGCAAGGGAAGGAUGUGAUAGGGAGAAAAGGAAAAAUACAAGCUUUGAUGUCUGGGCAAGAUUAAAAUAUUUAGGAGGAACAUCUUGAGUGAGAGCAAAGCUUCUCUCCACCCUUCCUCUACACUCCCCAAAAAUAAACAGUGAAGAUUCCUCUGAGACAGUGAGAAGAAGGAAAGAUGAUGAGAACUGAGAACGGAGAGACUUAUGGGCCCCUGGAGUUUGCUUCAGAUUCUCUCUCUGUCUCCCUCUCCCUCUGCCCCUCCCACUUGUUCUCUCUCUCUCUCUCUCUCUCUCAGAUAAAUAAAAUCUUUAGGG